This 331-nucleotide unclassified non-coding RNA is filed under the name soil metagenome. RNAcentral's name for it is "partial contains 5.8S ribosomal RNA, internal transcribed spacer 2, and large subunit ribosomal RNA". The stretch from base 1 to 121 matches the Rfam family "5.8S ribosomal RNA", at positions 35 to 154 of the family's 154-position model. The record is from RNAcentral.
GAUGAAGAACGUAGCGAAAUGCGAUAAGUAAUGCGAAUUGCAGAAUUCCAGUGAGUCAUCGAAUCUUUGAACGCACAUUGCGCCCUUUGGCAUUCCGAAGGGCAUGCCUGUUCGAGCGUCAUUAUCACCCCUCAAGCCCUUCGGCUUGGUGUUGGGCGACGGCAGUCUGCCGCGCCUCGAAGUGAUCGGCUGGACGGUUUGAAUCUCAGCGUUGUGGUUUCAUCAAUUCGCUGGCGAGGACGACCGGACGCGCCGUUAAACCUCAAUCACAGGUUGACCUCGGAUCGGGUAGGGAUACCCGCUGAACUUAAGCAUAUCAAUAAGCGGAGGA